Molecule: ribosomal RNA, 468 nt
Filed under: uncultured bacterium
Lineage: Bacteria
Description: partial 16S ribosomal RNA
Rfam family: Bacterial small subunit ribosomal RNA
Source: RNAcentral
GACGAACGCUGGCGGCGUGCUUAACACAUGCAAGUCGAACGGAAAGGCCCUGCUUUUGUGGGGUGCUCGAGUGGCGAACGGGUGAGUAACACGUGAGUAACCUGCCCUUGACUUUGGGAUAACUUCAGGAAACUGGGGCUAAUACCGGAUAGGAGCUCCUGCUGCAUGGGGGGGGUUGGAAAGUUUCGGCGGUUGGGGAUGGACUCGCGGCUUAUCAGCUUGUUGGUGGGGUAGUGGCUUACCAAGGCUUUGACGGGUAGCCGGCCUGAGAGGGUGACCGGCCACAUUGCGACUGAGAUACGGCCCAGACUCCUACGGGAGGCAGCAGUGGGGAAUAUUGCACAAUGGGCGGAAGCCUGAUGCAGCAACGCCGCGUGCGGGAUGACGGCCUUCGGGUUGUAAACCGCUUUCGCCUGUGACGAAGCGUGAGUGACGGUAAUGGGUAAAGAAGCACCGGCUAACUACGUG